RNAcentral lists this transfer RNA (81 nucleotides) under Blumeria graminis f. sp. tritici 94202. Its description in RNAcentral is "tRNA-Ser (GCT) (tRNA-Ser-GCT-4-1)". It matches the Rfam family "tRNA". Rfam says of the family: Transfer RNA (tRNA) molecules are approximately 80 nucleotides in length. Lineage: Eukaryota; Fungi; Ascomycota; Leotiomycetes; Helotiales; Erysiphaceae. The record is from RNAcentral.
GGCACUUUGGCGUUGUGGUUAACGCGAUGCCCUGCUAAGGCAUUUCCCUCGGGAGCGUGUGUUCGAAUCACACAGGUGUCG